GGUUAAGCGACUAAGCGUACACGGUGGAUGCCUAGGCAGUCAGAGGCGAUGAAGGGCGUGCUAAUCUGCGAAAAGCGUCGGUAAGCUGAUAUGAAGCGUUAUAACCGACGAUACCCGAAUGGGGAAACCCAGUGCAAUACGUUGCACUAUCGUUAGAUGAAUACAUAGUCUAACGAGGCGAACCGGGGGAACUGAAACAUCUAAGUACCCCGAGGAAAAGAAAUCAACCGAGAUUCCCCCAGUAGCGGCGAGCGAACGGGGAGGAGCCCAGAGUCUGAAUCAGUUUGUGUGUUAGUGGAAGCGUCUGGAAAGUCGCACGGUACAGGGUGAUAGUCCCGUACACCAAAAUGCACAGGCUGUGAACUCGAUGAGUAGGGCGGGACACGUGACAUCCUGUCUGAAUAUGGGGGGACCAUCCUCCAAGGCUAAAUACUCCUGACUGACCGAUAGUGAACCAGUACCGUGAGGGAAAGGCGAAAAGAACCCCGGCGAGGGGAGUGAAAUAGAACCUGAAACCGUGUACGUACAAGCAGUGGGAGCACCUUCGUGGUGUGACUGCGUACCUUUUGUAUAAUGGGUCAGCGACUUAUAUUUUGUAGCAAGGUUAACCGAAUAGGGGAGCCGUAGGGAAACCGAGUCUUAACUGGGCGUCUAGUUGCAAGGUAUAGACCCGAAACCCGGUGAUCUAGCCAUGGGCAGGUUGAAGGUUGGGUAACACUAACUGGAGGACCGAACCGACUAAUGUUGAAAAAUUAGCGGAUGACUUGUGGCUGGGGGUGAAAGGCCAAUCAAACCGGGAGAUAGCUGGUUCUCCCCGAAAGCUAUUUAGGUAGCGCCUCGUGAACUCAUCUUCGGGGGUAGAGCACUGUUUCGGCUAGGGGGCCAUCCCGGCUUACCAAACCGAUGCAAACUCCGAAUACCGAAGAAUGUUAUCACGGGAGACACACGGCGGGUGCUAACGUCCGUCGUGAAGAGGGAAACAACCCAGACCGCCAGCUAAGGUCCCAAAGUCAUGGUUAAGUGGGAAACGAUGUGGGAAGGCACAGACAGCCAGGAUGUUGGCUUAGAAGCAGCCAUCAUUUAAAGAAAGCGUAAUAGCUCACUGGUCGAGUCGGCCUGCGCGGAAGAUGUAACGGGGCUAAACCAUGCACCGAAGCUGCGGCAGCGACACUUAGGUGUUGUUGGGUAGGGGAGCGUUCUGUAAGCCGUUGAAGGUGACCUGUGAGGGUUGCUGGAGGUAUCAGAAGUGCGAAUGCUGACAUAAGUAACGAUAAUGCGGGUGAAAAACCCGCACGCCGGAAGACCAAGGGUUCCUGUCCAACGUUAAUCGGGGCAGGGUGAGUCGACCCCUAAGGCGAGGCUGAAAAGCGUAGUCGAUGGGAAACAGGUUAAUAUUCCUGUACUUGGUGUUACUGCGAAGGGGGGACGGAGAAGGCUAGGCUGGCCGGGCGACGGUUGUCCCGGUUUAAGCGUGUAGGGGGAGUGACCAGGUAAAUCCGGUUGCUUAUCAACCCUGAGGCGUGAUGACGAUGCACCACGGUGCAGAAGCAGUUGAUGCCAUGCUUCCAGGAAAAGCCUCUAAGCAUCAGGUAACAUUAAAUCGUACCCCAAACCGACACAGGUGGUCAGGUAGAGAAUACUCAGGCGCUUGAGAGAACUCGGGUGAAGGAACUAGGCAAAAUGGUGCCGUAACUUCGGGAGAAGGCACGCUGGCGUUAGGUGAAAGGACUAGCUCCUGGAGCUGAAGCCAGUCGCAGAUACCAGCUGGCUGCAACUGUUUAAUAAAAACACAGCACUGUGCAAACACGAAAGUGGACGUAUACGGUGUGACGCCUGCCCGGUGCUGGAAGGUUAAUUGAUGGGGUCAGCCGCAAGGCGAAGCUCUUGAUCGAAGCCCCAGUAAACGGCGGCCGUAACUAUAACGGUCCUAAGGUAGCGAAAUUCCUUGUCGGGUAAGUUCCGACCUGCACGAAUGGCGUAAUGAUGGCCAGGCUGUCUCCACCCGAGACUCAGUGAAAUUGAACUCGCUGUGAAGAUGCAGUGUACCCGCGGCAAGACGGAAAGACCCCGUGAACCUUUACUAUAGCUUGACACUGAACAUUGAGCCUUGAUGUGUAGGAUAGGUGGGAGGCCUUGAAGUGUGGACGCCAGUCUGCAUGGAGCCAACCUUGAAAUACCACCCUUUAAUGUUUGAUGUUCUAACUCGGCCCCAUGAUCUGGGGUGAGGACAGUGUCUGGUGGGUAGUUUGACUGGGGCGGUCUCCUCCCAAAGAGUAACGGAGGAGCACGAAGGUUAGCUAAUCACGGUCGGACAUCGUGAGGUUAGUGCAAAGGCAUAAGCUAGCUUGACUGCGAGAGUGACGGCUCGAGCAGGUACGAAAGUAGGUCUUAGUGAUCCGGUGGUUCUGAAUGGAAGGGCCAUCGCUCAACGGAUAAAAGGUACUCCGGGGAUAACAGGCUGAUACCGCCCAAGAGUUCAUAUCGACGGCGGUGUUUGGCACCUCGAUGUCGGCUCAUCACAUCCUGGGGCUGAAGUAGGUCCCAAGGGUAUGGCUGUUCGCCAUUUAAAGUGGUACGCGAGCUGGGUUUAGAACGUCGUGAGACAGUUCGGUCCCUAUCUGCCGUGGGCGUUGGAAGAUUGAGAGGGGCUGCUCCUAGUACGAGAGGACCGGAGUGGACGAAUCACUGGUGUUCGGGUUGUCAUGCCAAUGGCAUUGCCCGGUAGCUAAAUUCGGAAGAGAUAACCGCUGAAAGCAUCUAAGCGGGAAACUUGCCUCGAGAUGAGUCUUCCCUGGGGCUUAAAGCCCCCUGAAGGAACGUUAAAGACUAUGACGUUGAUAGGCUGGGUGUGUAAGUGCAGCGAUGUAUUGAGCUAACCAGUACUAAUGAUCCGUGAGGCUUAACCUU
RNAcentral lists this ribosomal RNA (2907 nucleotides) under Yersinia pestis. RNAcentral's name for it is "23S ribosomal RNA". It matches the Rfam family "Bacterial large subunit ribosomal RNA". RNAcentral also lists the same sequence under 14 other names. The record is from RNAcentral. Lineage: Bacteria; Pseudomonadati; Pseudomonadota; Gammaproteobacteria; Enterobacterales; Yersiniaceae.